ACAAUAUCACGUACACCGUCGGC
RNAcentral lists this non-coding RNA (23 nucleotides) under Arabidopsis thaliana (thale cress). Lineage: Eukaryota; Viridiplantae; Streptophyta; Magnoliopsida; Brassicales; Brassicaceae. The record is from RNAcentral.